GCUGGUGUUGCUCAGAGGUUAGAGCAUUGGCCCAUGCACCAAAGGGUCAUGGGUUCGAUUCCCAGUCAAAGGCA
RNAcentral lists this transfer RNA (74 nucleotides) under Myotis brandtii (Brandt's bat). It matches the Rfam family "tRNA". Rfam says of the family: Transfer RNA (tRNA) molecules are approximately 80 nucleotides in length. Their secondary structure includes four short double-helical elements and three loops (D, anti-codon, and T loops). The record is from Rfam by way of RNAcentral. Lineage: Eukaryota; Metazoa; Chordata; Mammalia; Chiroptera; Vespertilionidae.